Molecule: ribosomal RNA, 449 nt
Filed under: uncultured bacterium
Lineage: Bacteria
Description: partial 16S ribosomal RNA
Rfam family: Bacterial small subunit ribosomal RNA
Source: RNAcentral
AACGAACGCUGGCGGCAUGCCUAACACAUGCAAGUCGAACGAAGCCUUCGGGCUUAGUGGCGCACGGGUGCGUAACGCGUGGGAAUCUGCCCUUGGGUUCGGAAUAACAGUUAGAAAUGACUGCUAAUACCGGAUGAUGUCUUCGGACCAAAGAUUUAUCGCCCAAGGAUGAGCCCGCGUAGGAUUAGGUAGUUGGUGGGGUAAUGGCACACCAAGCCGACGAUCCUUAGCUGGUCUGAGAGGAUGAUCAGCCACACUGGGACUGAGACACGGCCCAGACUCCUACGGGAGGCAGCAGUGGGGAAUGUUGGACAAUGGGCGAAAGCCUGAUCCAGCAAUGCCGCGUGAGUGAUGAAGGCCUUAGGGUUGUAAAGCUCUUUUACCAGGGAUGAUAAUAACAGUACCUGGAGAAUAAGCUCCGGCUAACUCCGUGCCAGCCGCCGCUGUAA